GUUCUACCAUAUGGGGCUAUACAAGUGAGCAAUGAGAAUAAGGGUACCUUCACUGUCAAUGGGCAAAGAUUGAAACACUACUGGGGUGGUGACUUCUCUAAACAAGAGUCUACCGUUCAACUCGAGACGCCAGAAUGAAGCGGCCGCAGAAAAGUCGAGCUAUCGACUAUAACUUAGCGUUGGGUGGGAGGCAACCCACUGUAUCAUUUUUAUCUAUUUAUUUACUUUAUUAUGUUUUUUGCAUUAACUUAGGAAGUUUAUUUUCACAUUCAUUUAGUAUUCCUUUAUGUGGUCAUCAAUCAUCUAGGCAUUUCAAAGAGUCCAAGCACUGUGCACACGAGUCAUUAAGAAUCACACACAAGUUCGGGUUGAUUCACGUUUUUUGGGUAGUUGACUGUGGAAUUCAUGUAUUUCGAGAAAUAUUAUGUUUUCCAAAUUUCACAUGUCAAUAUUUUAAAAAUAUAUUUCAGAAAAAUUUGGGGGGGUUGAGAGAUGGGUAUUUAAAAAAAAAAAAUUGGACAGAAAUGGCAUUUUUAUUAUUUAUUUUAUUGUAUUAAAAAAAAUUUUGUGUGCUUAUGCGAUCGCAUAGACAUAGUGUCUAUGCGACCGCAUAGGCACCUACCGAAAGUGAAGGUCAUAAAACCAAUAUACCUAUGCGACUGCAUAGGUUAUAACUAUGCGGCCGCAUAGGUAGAAAAAGGCGUGGGUUUUUAACCCACGCCCGAAUCAUUUGCUAAGGGUUCUAUAUCAUUUUUCGACCUUUCACUCUCCUCCCAAAUCAAUUUUAGGCUAAAAUCACACACCAAUCCAUUCGUUGCAUUGUGCUAAAAUUGAUAGGAAAUCCAUUCUCUCCAUUGAUUAAACUCUACAAAGAAAAAGGUAUGUGUUCUUUCACCACUUCCUCAAUUCAUUUUCGGUUCUAUUCAUUAUACAUGUAAUUUUGGCGA
Molecule: long non-coding RNA, 947 nt
Filed under: Olea europaea (common olive)
Lineage: Eukaryota; Viridiplantae; Streptophyta; Magnoliopsida; Lamiales; Oleaceae
Description: long non-coding RNA (OEUR_LNC014469)
Source: RNAcentral